UUAUACCCUGUUGAACAAUUGUAGUUCGACAGGUACCCUAUUGAAUUGUGGUUGUUCGAUAUGUACCCCUGUCGAACUGUGGAUGUUCGACAGGGCA
Molecule: microRNA precursor, 97 nt
Filed under: Oryza meridionalis
Lineage: Eukaryota; Viridiplantae; Streptophyta; Magnoliopsida; Poales; Poaceae
Description: pre miRNA MIR439
Rfam family: MIR439 microRNA precursor family
Source: RNAcentral